UACGGAGGGUGCAAGCGUUAUCCGGAUUCACUGGGUUUAAAGGGUGCGUAGGUGGGAUGGUAAGUCCGUGGUGAAAUCUCCAAGCUUAACUUGGAAACUGCCGUGGAUACUAUCAUUCUUGAAUCUCGUGGAGGUAAGCGGAAUAUGUCAUGUAGCGGUGAAAUGCUUAGAUAUGACAUAGAACACCGAUAGCGAAGGCAGCUUGCUACACGAGUAUUGACACUGAGGCCCGAAAGCGUGGGGAUCAAACAGG
Molecule: ribosomal RNA, 253 nt
Filed under: uncultured bacterium
Lineage: Bacteria
Description: partial 16S ribosomal RNA
Rfam family: Bacterial small subunit ribosomal RNA
Source: RNAcentral